GGGCACUGGGUCCCCUUCUCUGCUUCGUGCCAUGUGGGGACAUGGGAAGGCAUCGUCUGCAAGCCAGGAAGCCGGCCCUCACAGAACCGAGUCUGCCCGCUCCUUGAUCUUGACCUCUGGCUUCCAGAACUGUGAGAAAUAAAUUUUUGUUGUUUAAGGCCCCAAGUCAAAGUUACUCUGUUGUAGUUGCCCAAGUGAGACAGAACCUCAUGCUACUCAGACAAGUGGAGAGAGUCGGCCCCCACCCCACGGGAGCGAGACAGCGAGAGCCUCAUUCUGAGAGGGCGUUGGGAGGAGGGCAGGAAGGUGCCCAGGUGAGUCAAUUUCCCGGCUUGGACACGCCCCUCUUCCCUGGUCUCACACAGGAAGGUGCCCAGGUGAGUCCAGUUCCCGGCUCGGACACGCCCCUCUUCCCUGGUCUCUCGCGGGAAGGUGCCCAGGUGAGUCCAGUUCCCGGCUCGGACACGCCCCUCUUCCCUGGUCUCUCUCGGGAAGGUGCCCAGGUGAGUCCAGUUCCCGGCUCGGACACGCCCCUCUUUCCUGGUCUCUCUCGGGAAGUUGCCCAGGUGAGUCCAGUUCCCGGCUCGGACACGCCCCUCUUCCCUGGUCUCGCGCGGGAAGUUGCCCAGGUGAGUCCAGUUCCCGGCUCGGGCACGCCCCUCUUCCCUGGUCUCUCUCGGGAAGUUGCCCAGGUGAGUUCAGUUCCCGGCUCGGACACGCCCCUCUUCCCUGGUCUGGCGCAGGAAGUUGCCCAGGUGAGUCCAGUUCCCGGCUCGGACACGCCCCUCUUCCCUGGUCUCUCACAGAUCCUCCCACUGGUUGAAUUGAAGAGAGCAUGAUGUGUCCAUCCUUGCGGCUCGGACGAGCUGGCCCCAUCCUGGAGACCAGCCUUUUGCUUAAUCACACUUCCUGGCAUCCCACCUACAGAGAUGAAAUCCAUUUAGGUCAAUUGCUC
This 955-nucleotide long non-coding RNA is filed under the name Pan troglodytes (chimpanzee). Its description in RNAcentral is "long non-coding RNA NONPTRT009039". The record is from RNAcentral. Lineage: Eukaryota; Metazoa; Chordata; Mammalia; Primates; Hominidae.